Molecule: non-coding RNA, 100 nt
Filed under: unclassified sequences
Description: DUF1874 RNA
Rfam family: DUF1874 RNA
About the family: Hot springs metagenome only. Environment (Bison Hot Springs, Yellowstone)
Source: RNAcentral
GUAAGCCCCAGCCCACAUGCCACGGUCAUCCACAGGUAAGAGCGGCCAAAUGCCGCCGCCGUGGCCCUUCCGCAAGGAAGGAGGGCUUGGGGCAGGAGGA